Camellia sinensis is the source of this 660-nucleotide non-coding RNA. The record is from RefSeq and is a predicted model, not a curated record. Lineage: Eukaryota; Viridiplantae; Streptophyta; Magnoliopsida; Ericales; Theaceae.
GGCUCUUGCUGUACCGCCGCAACAAAAGAAGUUCAGCCUAUUUCAUCUCCCACUUCAACAAUCCCUCCUCCAUCAACAUACCUUUACGUACCUCUCUCCUGUUCAUGCCCGUUUGAAGCUUGCUCUCAUCUCUCUCUCUCUCAAAGAUGGCUGACCGGAAGCCUCAGAACAAUGGCUUUCCCGGCAAAACCCAAACACAUAUUCCAACUUUAGAUCCACCGCAGAAACCAAAACGAAACAAGUAUGCUUUCGCCUGUGCCAUUUUAGCUUCCAUGACUUCCAUCUUACUUGGUUAUGAUGUUGGGGUGAUGAGUGGAGCAGGACUCUUCAUCAAGGACGACCUCAAAAUCUCCGACGUCUAGCUGGAAGUACUAAUGGGCAUCAUCAACCUCCACUCCCUCCUCGGCUCCGCCGCCGCCAUAGGUAGAACCUCCGAUUGGGUGGGCCGUCAGUACACCAUUGUCAUCGCCGCCGCAAUAUUCUUCGCCGGUGCCAUCCUGAUGGGCUUCGCCACCAACUACGCCUUCCUCAUUGUGGGCCACUUCGUCACCGGCAUCGGUGUCGGGUACGCCCUCUUGAUCGCCCCCGUCUGCACUGCCGAAGUCUCUCCCGCCGCCUCCCGCGGCUUCCUCACCUCUUUCCCCGAAGUCUUCAUCAACG